GAUGAACGCUGGCGGCGUGCCUAAUACAUGCAAGUCGAGCGAACGGACGAGAAGCUUGCUUCUCUGAUGUUAGCGGCGGACGGGUGAGUAACACGUGGAUAACCUACCUAUAAGACUGGGAUAACUUCGGGAAACCGGAGCUAAUACCGGAUAAUAUUUUGAACCGCAUGGUUCAAAAGUGAAAGACGGUCUUGCUGUCACUUAUAGAUGGAUCCGCGCUGCAUUAGCUAGUUGGUAAGGUAACGGCUUACCAAGGCAACGAUGCAUAGCCGACCUGAGAGGGUGAUCGGCCACACUGGAACUGAGACACGGUCCAGACUCCUACGGGAGGCAGCAGUAGGGAAUCUACCGCAAAGGGCGAAAGCCUGACGGAGCAACGCCGCGUGAGUGAUGAAGGUCUUCGGAUCGUAAAACUCUGUUAUUAGGGAAGAACAUAUGUGUAAGUAACUGUGCACAUCUUGACGGUACCUAAUCAGAAAGCCACGGCUAACUACGUG
RNAcentral lists this ribosomal RNA (497 nucleotides) under uncultured bacterium. Its description in RNAcentral is "partial 16S ribosomal RNA". It matches the Rfam family "Bacterial small subunit ribosomal RNA", at positions 28 to 507 of the family's 1533-position model. The record is from RNAcentral.